Molecule: long non-coding RNA, 468 nt
Filed under: Triticum aestivum (bread wheat)
Lineage: Eukaryota; Viridiplantae; Streptophyta; Magnoliopsida; Poales; Poaceae
Description: long non-coding RNA (TAES_LNC000688)
Source: RNAcentral
UUGGAGUCAUUUGGUUGUUCAAAAAACUUAAAUUCCAAAAGGAAAGACAGGGGCUCCUACAAGCUUUCACCUUCAUCCGACACAUAUAAAUAUGAUACAGAUAGUGACAUGGAUUUUCCAAGAUGAUAUACAAAAUGAAACAUAUAUUCCAAAGCAAGUGCACAUUCUGAACAAGGAAUGUUCAGGGAGGUGAUUUAACAAGUUACAACUUAUUUGAUGUAAUGGAAGAGUCUAAACAAGAUUUUAACAAAUCUGAACCACAAAUGAGAAGAAAACAUUGUCAGGUGUAUUUUUGUUAGAAAAGGAGGAUGACCCCCGGCCUCUGCAUCGUCAGGUGUAUGAAACACUCAUGUCAAAUUAACAAGGAUCAAUCAACAACUACCAUUGCUGUAGUUGACCCGACACUUGGAGCAAUACUUUCCAUUGACUCCAUCGUGGAUCAGAGGGAGUAACAUUUUUCUACUCCUG